UCUGGGGAGGUGCUUGAAGCCUUGUGGUU
This 29-nucleotide non-coding RNA is filed under the name Homo sapiens (human). Lineage: Eukaryota; Metazoa; Chordata; Mammalia; Primates; Hominidae. The record is from RNAcentral.